AGUAAAAAAGAGGAAAGAGAGAAACAAUUAAAUAAGGAAUGACCCUCACCUUGGCCAAAAUUCAAAAUGCCCCAUUUACCCAUCUUUACUUUUUUUCAAUCACUCAUGAGGUAUUGGGAUGAAAUCUUCAGGAUAAGAUAUUUCAUAGAGGAAGAAGAUAAAAUUUAGAUAGUGAAAGAGAGAGUUUCAGUUCUCAGGAGGAAGAAAGAAAGGAAGGAAGGAAGA
RNAcentral lists this unclassified non-coding RNA (225 nucleotides) under Hevea brasiliensis (rubber tree). Lineage: Eukaryota; Viridiplantae; Streptophyta; Magnoliopsida; Malpighiales; Euphorbiaceae. The record is from RNAcentral.